GCCAACAUAGCUCAGUCGGUAGAGCAACGCAUUCGUAAUGCGUAGGUCGUGGGUUCAAGUCCCAUUGUUGGCU
RNAcentral lists this transfer RNA (73 nucleotides) under Picosynechococcus sp. PCC 7002. RNAcentral's name for it is "tRNA-Thr (CGT) (tRNA-Thr-CGT-1-1)". It matches the Rfam family "tRNA". From Rfam's summary of the family: Transfer RNA (tRNA) molecules are approximately 80 nucleotides in length. Their secondary structure includes four short double-helical elements and three loops (D, anti-codon, and T loops). Further hydrogen bonds mediate the characteristic L-shaped molecular structure. tRNAs have two regions of fundamental functional importance: the anti-codon, which is responsible for specific mRNA codon recognition, and the 3' end, to which the tRNAs corresponding amino acid is attached (by aminoacyl-tRNA synthetases). tRNAs cope with the degeneracy of the genetic code in two manners: having more than one tRNA (with a specific anti-codon) for a particular amino acid; and 'wobble' base-pairing, i.e. permitting non-standard base-pairing at the 3rd anti-codon position. Lineage: Bacteria; Bacillati; Cyanobacteriota; Cyanophyceae; Chroococcales; Geminocystaceae. The record is from Rfam by way of RNAcentral. RNAcentral also lists the same sequence under 7 other names.